RNAcentral lists this ribosomal RNA (913 nucleotides) under uncultured archaeon. RNAcentral describes it as "bacterial SSU rRNA". It matches the Rfam family "Archaeal small subunit ribosomal RNA", at positions 1 to 922 of the family's 1478-position model. The record is from RNAcentral.
UUCCGGUUGAUCCCGCCAGAGGUCACUGCUAUCGGGGUUCGAUUAAGCCAUGCGAGUCGAGAGGGUUCAGACCCUCGGCGGACUGCUCAGUAACACGUGGAUAACCUGCCCUAAGGUGGAGCAUAACCCCGGGAAACUGGGGAUAAUACUCCAUAGGUUAGAGAUACUGGAAUGUUCUUUAAUCGAAAGUUCCGGCGCCUUAGGAUGGAUCUGCGGCCGAUUAGGUAGUUGUUGGGGUAACGGCCCAACAAGCCUGUAAUCGGUACGGGUUGUGGGAGCAAGAGCCCGGAGAUGGAAUCUGAGACACGAUUCCAGGCCCUACGGGGCGCAGCAGGCGCGAAAACUUUACAAUGCAGGAAACUGUGAUAAGGGAACCCCGAGUGCCCGUAUACGCGGGCUGUCCGGGUGUAUAAAAAGCAUCUGAAGAAAGGGCCGGGCAAGACCGGUGCCAGCCGCGGCGGUAAUACCGGCGGCUCGAGUGGUGACCACUUUUAUUGGGCUUAAAGCGUUCGUAGCUGGACUCUUAAGUCUCUUGGGAAAUCCCGCGGCUCAACCGUGGGGCGUUUAAGAGAUACUGGGAGUCUAGGAACCGGGAGAGGUAAGAGGUACUUCGGGGGUAGAAGUGAAAUUCUGUAAUCCUCGAGGGACCACCGAUGGCGAAGGCAUCUUACCAGAACGGCUUCGACAGUGAGGAACGAAAGCUGGGGGAGCGAACGGGAUUAGAUACCCCGGUAGUCCCAGCUGUAAAUUAUGCAGACUGUGGUGUUACGCUAUCGUAAGAUAGCGUAGUGCUGUAGCGUAGGUGUUAAGUCUGCCGCCUGGGGAGUACGGUCGCAAGAUUGAAACUUAAAGGAAUUGGCGGGGGAGCACCACAAGGGGUGGAUGCUACGGUUCAAUUGGAGUCAACGCCGGA